RNAcentral lists this ribosomal RNA (467 nucleotides) under uncultured bacterium. RNAcentral's name for it is "partial 16S ribosomal RNA". It matches the Rfam family "Bacterial small subunit ribosomal RNA", at positions 28 to 507 of the family's 1533-position model. The record is from RNAcentral.
GACGAACGCUGGCGGCGUGCUUAACACAUGCAAGUCGAACGGAAAGGCCCUGCUUUUGUGGGGUGCUCGAGUGGCGAACGGGUGAGUAACACGUGAGUAACCUGCCCUUGACUUUGGGAUAACUUCAGGAAACUGGGGCUAUACCGGAUAGGAGCUCCCGCUGCAUGGUGGGGGUUGGAAAGGUUCGGCGGUUGGGGAUGGACUCGCGGCUUAUUAGCUUGUUGGUGGGGUAGUGGCUUACCAAGGCUUUGACGGGUAGCCGGCCUGAGAGGGUGACCGGCCACAUUGGGACUGAGAUACGGCCCAGACUCCUACGGGAGGCAGCAGUGGGGAAUAUUGCACAAUGGGCGGAAGCCUGAUGCAGCAACGCCGCGUGCGGGAUGACGGCCUUCGGGUUGUAAACCGCUUUCGCCUGUGACGAAGCGUGAGUGACGGUAAUGGGUAAAGAAGCACCGGCUAACUACGUG